CCUACGGGAGGCAGCAGUAGGGAAUAUUGCUCAAUGGGGGAAACCCUGAAGCAGCAACGCCGCGUGGAGGAUGAAGGUUUUCGGAUUGUAAACUCCUUUUGUAGAGAAGAUAAUGACGGUAACUUACGAAUAAGCACCGGCUAAAUACGGGCCAGCAGCCGCGGGAAUACCGAGGGUGGAAGCGUUACUCGGAAUCAACGGGCGUAAAGAGGGCGUAGGCGGGAUUGCAAGUCAGAUGUGAAAUCCUUUGGCUUAACCAUAGAACUGCAUUUGAGACUGUUAUUCUAGAGUAUGGGAGAGGUAGGUGGAAUUCUUGGUGUAGCGGUAAAAUCCGUAGAGAUCAAGAGGAAUACUCAUUGCGAAGGCGACCUACUAGAACAUAACUGACGCUGAUGCGCGAAAGCGUGGGGAGCAAACAGGAUUAGAUACCCGAGUAGUC
RNAcentral lists this ribosomal RNA (439 nucleotides) under uncultured bacterium. Its description in RNAcentral is "partial 16S ribosomal RNA". It matches the Rfam family "Bacterial small subunit ribosomal RNA", at positions 338 to 795 of the family's 1533-position model. The record is from RNAcentral.